RNAcentral lists this transfer RNA (74 nucleotides) under Candidatus Roizmanbacteria bacterium RIFOXYA1_FULL_37_12. RNAcentral's name for it is "tRNA-Arg". It matches the Rfam family "tRNA". From Rfam's summary of the family: Transfer RNA (tRNA) molecules are approximately 80 nucleotides in length. Their secondary structure includes four short double-helical elements and three loops (D, anti-codon, and T loops). RNAcentral also lists the same sequence under 6 other names. Lineage: Bacteria; Candidatus Roizmaniibacteriota. The record is from RNAcentral.
GAUCCCGUAGCUUAAUUGGAUAGAGCAAAAGCUUGCGGAGCUUUAGGUUGAGAGUUCAAGUCUCUCCGGGAUCA